ACGGCUCAGUAACACGUAGUCAACAUGCCCAGGGGACGUGGAUAACCUCGGGAAACUGAGGAUAAACCACGAUAAGUCACUACUUCUGGAAUGGGUAAUGACUCAAAUCUACAUGGCCCCUGGAUUGGACUGCGGCCGAUCAGGCUGUUGGUGAGGUAAUGGCCCACCAAACCUGUAACCGGUACGGGCUCUGAGAGGAGGAGCCCGGAGAUGGGCACUGAGACAAGGGCCCAGGCCCUAUGGGGCGCAGCAGGCGCGAAACCUCUGCAAUAGGCGAAAGCCUGACAGGGUUACUCUGAGUGAUUUCCGUUAAGGAGAUCUUUUGGCACCUCUAAAAAUGGUGCAGAAUAAGGGGUGGGCAAGUCUGGUGUCAGCCGCCGCGGUAAUACCAGCACCCCGAGUGGUCGGGACGUUUAUUGGGCCUAAAGCAUCCGUAGCCGGUUCUACAAGUCUUCCGUUAAAUCCACCUGCUUAACAGAUGGGCUGCGGAAGAUACUAUAGAGCUAGGAGGCGGGAGAGGCAAGCGGUACUCGAUGGGUAGGGGUAAAAUCCGUUGAUCCAUUGAAGACCACCAGUGGCGAAGGCGGCUUGCCAGAACGCGCUCGACGGUGAGGGAUGAAAGCUGGGGGAGCAAACCGGAUUAGAUACCCGGGUAGUCCCAGCUGUAAACGAUGCAGACUCGGUGAUGAGUUGGCUUUAUGCCAACUCAGUGCCGCAGGGAAGCCGUUAAGUCUGCCGCCUGGGGAGUACGGUCGCAAGACUGAAACUUAAAGGAAUUGGCGGGGGAGCAC
This 791-nucleotide ribosomal RNA is filed under the name uncultured archaeon. RNAcentral's name for it is "bacterial SSU rRNA". It matches the Rfam family "Archaeal small subunit ribosomal RNA", at positions 85 to 879 of the family's 1478-position model. The record is from RNAcentral.